Erinaceus europaeus (western European hedgehog) is the source of this 470-nucleotide long non-coding RNA. RefSeq lists it as uncharacterized. The record is from RefSeq and is a predicted model, not a curated record. The transcript is spliced from 3 exons. NCBI's taxonomy places the organism in Eukaryota, Metazoa, Chordata, Mammalia, Eulipotyphla, Erinaceidae.
UCAUCAAUAAACAGUUUUAAGAAAGUCUGGAUGGGUCCGCAAAUCACUGAUUUAGUCUCCCAUAUUUGAGAUUUGAUUAGCAAGGAGUGGUUCAGCAGCAGAUAGAACAAAAAGAAAAACCAAAUUUGGCACUAGAGCACUACUCUACUUCGGGCUUAUAGUCAUGUUGGGGAUUGAACUUGGAACCUCAGAGCCUCAGAUCUAACUCCAGCACAAAGAACUUGGAUACAGUGUGUUGUAUCGUACCGAAUUAAAGGACUCUGGGGAUGAACGGAGGCGCUUGCAUGUCCUGGUGCAGGAUGGUGGGGGAGGACCGAGACUGGGGGGGGGGGUGUACAUGUAUAUCAACAACUGCAUUUAUUGGAAGCCAUAACCCCCUCCUCAAGUAAAAGUGUCACUUUAUCUCAUAUCUAUAUUUUCAGCUAAGAUGACGAAAUAAACACAUUUGGAAAAGACUUGCUCAAAUCCCA